GGCAACGACGGGGGCAGCACAUUCGAAUGGGGGUCCUUGAUGGAAGGACCCGUGUUGAACUCAAAUGCAGGUGAUCAUAAAUCAUAGAUUUUCAAACUUUUUUUUUUUUUUUAAAACUCAGUGUGGACCUCAAGCCAAACGUCACAUAAGGUCAACUCAUGACGGCUCCAGAUUGUUGUCGGGCCUGUUGGACAGAUUGCCAUCAGGCGUUUCCCACAUGCAGGACUUCAGCGCGGGGUGGUAGAAGACGGCAGCUUGCAAGCACGCGCCCGAUGCCUCCCGAGCCCGGAGAGUUUUUGUUGCAAUCAGCUGCACCGAGAGGAAGUCUUCCGCUGAGGUGUACGUGCCACUGUGGUCCGCGUGCACAGAGUCAACGAACAAGUAAGCCAUCCAGCUGUUCCUGUGCGAGUCAUUUCUGAUGCACAUCUGGAAGGAAAAGAUGUCUUCACGACAAGAUUAUCUGCACGUGUAUCGUGGGGCGUCUUUUAUAUGAAUAACCAAUUAUAUUGUAUUAACACGACACGUGCCCAAAAAUUUUGAGAGAACAGAGUAGGACUGAAUGAUGACAUCUAUUAAUCUUUUCGUUUGGAUUUCAUUUUUUACUUUCAACUAUAAAUAUCUUCUGUUGCAUGUUUAUAUGUCCAAUAAAAAGCCAUCAA
Molecule: long non-coding RNA, 659 nt
Organism: Phyllopteryx taeniolatus (common seadragon)
Lineage: Eukaryota; Metazoa; Chordata; Actinopteri; Syngnathiformes; Syngnathidae
Exons: 4
Source: RefSeq, a predicted model, not a curated record